Molecule: ribosomal RNA, 253 nt
Filed under: uncultured Gemmatimonas sp.
Lineage: Bacteria; Pseudomonadati; Gemmatimonadota; Gemmatimonadia; Gemmatimonadales; Gemmatimonadaceae
Description: partial 16S ribosomal RNA
Rfam family: Bacterial small subunit ribosomal RNA
Source: RNAcentral
UACAGAGGGUGCGAGCGUUGUCCGGAAUCACUGGGCGUAAAGGGCGCGUAGGUGGCGCGGCAAGUCAGUGGUGAAAGCUCGACGCUCAACGUCGAGUCGGCCACUGAUACUGCCGGGCUUGAGCACUGUAGAGGCAGAUGGAAUUCCGGGUGUAGCGGUGGAAUGCGUAGAGAUCCGGAAGAACACCGGUGGCGAAGGCGGUCUGCUGGGCAGUUGCUGACACUGAGGCGCGACAGCGUGGGGAGCAAACAGG